RNAcentral lists this ribosomal RNA (433 nucleotides) under uncultured bacterium. Its description in RNAcentral is "partial 16S ribosomal RNA". It matches the Rfam family "Bacterial small subunit ribosomal RNA", at positions 29 to 507 of the family's 1533-position model. The record is from RNAcentral.
AACGAACGCUGGCGGCAUGCCUAACACAUGCAAGUCGAACGAGACCUUCGGGUCUAGUUGCGCACGUGUGCGUAACGCGUGGUAACCUACCCUUGGGUUCGGAAUAACUCCCCGAAAGAUGUCCUAAUACCAGAGAGGGUCUUCGCACCAAAGAUUUAUCGCCUUUGGGUGGGCCCGCGUUGGAUUAGCUGGUUGGUAGGGGAAAAGCCUACCAAGGGGACGUUCCAUAGCUGGUCUGAGAGGAUGAUCAGCCAGACUGGGACUGAGACACGGCCCAGACUCCUACGGGAGGCAGCAGUGGGGAAUAUUGGAGGAUGGGCGAAAGCCUGACCCAGCAAUGCCGCGUGAGUGAUGAAGGCCUUAGGGUUGUAAAGCUCCUUUAGACGGGAUGUUAAUGACAGUACCGGGAGAAUAAGCUCCGGCUAACUCCGUG